GUGGGGAGGGGUGGACAUAGUUGCACCUGUGCAGAUAGAUUUACUUCCUUUAAAGAAAUACUUCUUUCACAACUACUGGGUUAGGCUGUCCUUCUUAGUAUGACAUUACUUGUCUUUUGGAGGUGUUGCUGUUACCUUCAAGCAUUGGGUCACAGAUCUUGGAGUGGACCCUAAAGGUGACAGAAAGCCUGUGCAAGCUUGGUCAACGUAGUUGCUAGAGAAAAAAAUGGGCCAAAGAGCAACAUCAUACUGUAUUCAUAUGGAGGGAGCUGGCGUUUUCUUGAAGGAAGCUGUCAAUUUUGCUUUCAAAAGCUAAUGAUAGGGAUGGAAAAUAAGAAGUUGGAAGGUGGGACCUAGAAUUAAAUAAAGAAAACUGUCUCCUAUUUGUAGUCCUUGAGAUAAGACUCAACUGGGUCUUGCACUGAUUGGGCUGUCACGCUAAAGGACACUUGCUUUGGAAUAAACCUAGUGACAAGUAACAGAGUGGGGUGAGGUAAGGAGUCAGGCCAGAAUUCAAGAAAAGAGACAGACAGUAGAGGAUUCCCGUGAAGGGGCCUGAGCCUGUGGACUCAGAAGGCAGUAAUAGAUAAUACUUAGUGUAAAGCCUUCGUAUGGUAGUUCUGCAUUUCAUAGUCCACCUUUCAGUCAGCUUGUGUUAAAUUCUACAUCCUAGUUUCCUUUUGGAAGAAGUAUAGCAGGGAGGAUGCUAUUCCCACACUUGGGGAAGAGAUGGUAUUGGAGAGAGGGACCAUCUCAAUGGUAGCUGAACUCUAGCCUACAAAAGUCCCCACUAAGAAAAGCAAGCAAUGUUCCAGAGUGGGGUGAUGCUGGGAUUGGGGGAGUAGGGUGCACAAAAGGCAUCCGUUGAACACAUCAAAUUCUCCAGGAAUAGAGCUGGCAAGAGACAGAAACUCAGGCUUUUGUAAUUUGUGAAUUAAAGGGAAAUAACUUCCUACACUGGUAAAGCCUGGGAUAUCAGGGUAUGUGACUGUGUCACCUUCUGGGUACAAGGCUUUGUUUUAGUUACUUAUCUUUCCAAGUCUCAGUUUUUCCAUCUGGAAACCAGGGAUAAAUAAGAGUGACAAUCUCAUAGGAUUUUUGUGACAAUUAAACAGGCCACAUAAUACCCUAGUACAUAGAAACUACUGAUAGUAUCAUUACUAUACCCAGAUGUGCUGGAAAGGGGAAUUAAUAAUAUACUAAGCAAAAAGCCCUCACAACUAAUCAUUAUGAGAAUACAUACAAGGAACAUAGACAGGACUGCUGUAGAAAGAAGAGGUGUUUUUAGCUCAUCAUUGACUCAGAGAUGAGAAAAAUAUUCCACUAGAAGUGUUCAGGCUGCCCCUUCCACAAAUCCAAAGAAUGGGGCUCUUGGGAUGUAGCAGUACCUCUAGGCUUUGAGUCUCACUUUCUUUAAGCAAUGAUGUGAUGGUGGAAACCCAUCUGCAGAAGCCCAGAGUUAUUUCAAACAAAAGGGUUGAUCUAGCAAACUCCACUGGGAAUGGGCCCCCAGAAUUUAGUACUAAGCUGUCUUGACCCAUUCUGUUCCAACAUCUUUGGUGGAAGCAAAAGGACAAAAACUUUGCCAUAAUUGUUUGGAUGCUCCAAUAGACAUGCCUAUAUUGGAGACUUGUCUCUCAGUGUCAUGCUGACCAAGAAGCCAUUCCCAGAGUUUCCUUGCCUGCCCCUGGCACAACAACUUCUGCCUACUCAGCUGUGAGUGGGAUUCCCUUUGGCACUUUGGCUCCAGACCUGCAGCC
Molecule: long non-coding RNA, 1760 nt
Filed under: Heterocephalus glaber (naked mole-rat)
Lineage: Eukaryota; Metazoa; Chordata; Mammalia; Rodentia; Bathyergidae
Description: lncRNA (ENSHGLG00100038432.1)
Source: RNAcentral